CUAUCUACUGUAAGUCUGCAACCUAACAUCUUGCUUCGGCCUACUACAUGUACAAUGGUUUCAUCAGGAAUUUAACGGUGCACACCCUAUCCGUAUGUUUUAUUUCUUGGUGAUAAGAAGGUAAUGGAACGGAAUAGGAGGUAUUUCCAAGUCAAACAAUCACGCGAGGGAGUGGUAAAACAAGGAUGGACGCAUGGCAUGGUGAACUGCUUGCUUGAGGGUCGACUGCCACCAUUGAUGGAAGGAUUGCCACAUAGGCAUGGAAGCCUUGAAACAGGGAAAACUACUUUCAGAUGUUGAAGAACUUCGAGAGCAUCCGUACUCACCAAAAACCAUAUCAAAAUUAUUCAGUACAUCAUCUCAGUAUGGAAUGUCAUCUUAAAAGAUGGAACUAUAUCUUUUUUGGACGACAGUAUAGGGGAACUAGAACAUGCGGAAGCGGCCGUGAACAUAGAUGCACAGUACUGCAAGGAAGAAACAAAGGUGUACGAUCUCACCCAGGUCUCCAAGCUAUUACCCGAUAUGAAGCGCGGGCAGCCGGGCUGGACUGGAGGUUUGUGCACUGGCGGAGCUAAAGCAAGGCUUAAUGGGGCGUGGUUUGCCCAGCCCAAGGUAUUUUGUACACUAUGCAUUUACUCCUAGGCCUUUAAAUAAUAGCCCAUAAGAUAUUUUCUUUUGGUUGGCCCGCCAGCUUUGGGCUGCACGCUUGGUAUAGGUCAUUGGGUGUACUAGCAGUCUAUAGAGAGCUUGUUCUAAGGAUAUACUCUCUCCAUCCUCGAAAGUGUACUUCUAACUUUGUUGAAAAAUCAAACUUUUUUAUGUUUGACCGUAUUUAUACAACAAUACACUUACAUUUAUGCCAUCAAAGUACUAACAUUAGAUUCCCGAUAAAAUAUAUUUCCAUCAUAUACCUAUUUGGUUUCACAAACAUUGAUAUAUUUUUGCACAAACUCAGUCAAACUUUGAGAUAAUUUGAUUUCCCAAUAAAGUUGGAAGUACACUCUUUGAAGGACGAAGGGAGUAAUUUUUUGAUUGAGUCUGAUGUAAGGUAAAUAAUAAAAAUACAAUAGUACUACUAAUGACAGUCUCGGUGUUGGGAAUUUUUUUAAUCAAUAUUUACUCAAGGCAGCUAUUUCUACCGUUGAAUAAUUGCAAUUUAGCUAUGUGACACUGAUGAAUUAUAGAAAGGUUACAACCUAUACUCUUGGGGCAAAGGUUUUGGGAUCAGAUAUGGAAAAUGUGGGUCAAAUGUUCAGAGGACAAAAUGUAAUUUAGGAAAUAGUUUGUGGAUGUGUGGUGAGUUUUAUUUCAUUGCGACAUAUUUCAGCUAUGAGAGAAAUGCCAUUUUUCGAGGAACCGACACGCUCUCGGCCUUUGCAUUAAUAAGAAGAGAAUUAGCCAGUUUAUAAGGAAUACUUGUAGGCAUUAAUAGGAAGAGAAUUGGUCAGUCUAUAAGGAAUACUGGACGAAAACCGAUACAAUGAAACACACAACAGCCUUGGGACUACGUACCCAA
Aegilops tauschii subsp. strangulata is the source of this 1516-nucleotide non-coding RNA. NCBI's taxonomy places the organism in Eukaryota, Viridiplantae, Streptophyta, Magnoliopsida, Poales, Poaceae. The record is from RefSeq and is a predicted model, not a curated record.